CUGUGGAGCUGCUGUUUGGACCGUUUCCCGUGCAAUGCCUUUUAAUCACUAAUAGUGGAACUGCUCCGAAGCACCGUAGGCUCUGAUGUCAAGGACCUCCAUAAAGAUAUGUGGCUCCAUCUAUACCAGGCCAGUCUGGAAUUCCACAGACAAUGUUGUCUUAAAGUUUGCAUAGACGGCAUAGAAUUUGCAGAAAAUAAUCAUCAUUAGACGUUCUGACGAAAAGGUCAUUGACCUGAAACAUUAAUUCACUUUCUCCUCUCCAUG
This is a long non-coding RNA of Callorhinchus milii (elephant shark), 267 nucleotides long. RefSeq lists it as uncharacterized. The record is from RefSeq and is a predicted model, not a curated record. NCBI's taxonomy places the organism in Eukaryota, Metazoa, Chordata, Chondrichthyes, Chimaeriformes, Callorhinchidae. The transcript has 3 exons.